UGCGUGCAGUGAAUAUAGGAAUACGAUGGCUUGACUGAUUGUGACUUGCCACAGAGCUUAUUUUAACAGAGCAUCAUGGAAGAAGCUUGGUUUCAAGUUGGUACGGUCUACUAGGUGACGUUUGAUUUUAUAGGCCUUUUUUCACCAAGGCAUGGGCUUGUGUAGUGUUGUCUUGGUGAUGUGCAAUGUGUAGUAUUCCGUUCUUAGAUGGUGAGGGAUGAUGUUGCAUUGCUGAAUGGGUUCCAGAACAUACAUUCGAGAAUUUUUUUUCAUUUGGUUUGGUCAAUAUUUAUCAUGAUUUGCUUAAAUCAUAUGUGUCGUGGAGUAGCUUCAAAUGCAUGCAUCGUGCAUAGUGCUUAUCUACCCUGAACACAUGAUUACAUUCUUUACAGCCAUGGAACUUUGCUCACUUGUUUCCCCAAAGUUGUUCUUCUUCAUUUGUGUUCUCCCCAAUGCUGCAGAGGUGGCGUAGGUAAGAUAAGGCACUCCCUUCCUCUCCUAUGCUUCCUCUUCUGUUCUGUGUCUCCAUGGCCAUCGAGCCAUGGUAGGUUCUAUGCUGGCCAUGCAAAUUUCUAGGGUUUGAGGCUAUGGUGAUGGUAUGUUGUGAUAACUAGUGCCACUAUUUCUCUUCUGCUCUUUGUGUCCACAUCCAUCGUGUCGUGGUGAGCUCCGUUCUCGCCAUCGUGCCAUGGAAAGCUCUAGUCUUUUGGGCUAUGGUGAUGGCCGCCCUUUGCGUGGAUUUAGCCCCGGAAACAAGUUUUUUAGUUUGACUUGUGGUUUAUAUAAUCAAUUAAUCCCCAAUCCAGCACUAUUUCUGGUUUGUCUACCGGAUUUUUUCAUUAUUUCCAUGCAGACUAUGUAUGCGAUGCACUUGAGACUUGACCUCUACCUUUUGAGUUUUGAUACGCUCGAAUAUUGUUAUGCUAUAAUUUUGUGUCUUGUACAUUCGAGAGAGAUCUGACUAGGCUGUUACAGGUUGAGGGAACUUGAUAAGCUCAAGGGACAUGUGGAAUUUGGUUUGCCAACUAGAAGGCGCUCGGCAUCGAGACGGUCCAGCAGUCCGUACACGGUGUGAUGAUCUGGGCUUCCAUGAAUGCAUCAGCUACAACUACUUGGGUGAGUCCCUGAUCUGGGCUCCCAUUGUAUGCGUCCUACAUCUUGCUUAUCAACCCUCAACACAUGGUUACAUUCUUUAAAGCCAUGGACCUUUGCUCACUUGUUUCCCAAAGUUGUUCUUUCUUCAUUUGUGUUUUCCUCUUGCAGAUGCGAUCGUUGUUGUGAUAGAGCUGCAGUGGUGGUGUAGGUAAGAUAAGGCACUCCCUUCCUCUCAUGUGCUUUCUCUUUCGCUCUGUGUGUCCAUGGCCAUCAAGCCGUGGUAGGUUCUAUGCUGGCCAUGGAAAUUUCUAGGAUUUGGGGCUAUGGUGACGGUUUGUUGUGAUAACUAGCGCCACCAUUUCUCUUCUUCUGUUUGUGUCCACGACGUGUCAUGGUGAGCAUUGUGCUCGCCAUCGCGCGAUGGCAAUCUCUAGUUUUGUUGGGCUGUGGUGAUGGUCACCAUUUGAGUGGAUUUAGCCCUGGAGGACUAAGUGUUUUAGAUUGCCUCAUGGUUCAUAGAAUUUAUUAAUCCCCAAUAUGGCACUAUUUCUUUUUUGUCCAUUGAAUUUCUUCAUUAUUUCUGUGUAGACUAUGUAUGCUUUUUUGCCAGUUGCAAUUAAUUGUUCGCGGUAUUUGUUCUUGACCUGCAUAUUUGGAAUCAACUGGCCAGGAACCAGUCAAAUUUUCUUAUUUGUAAGGAAGGUAUGGGGGAAACAAAUAAUACCCUUUUGAAAUUUUAUGAGAUAAAAGUGAGAUAGAAACAAUCUGCCAUGUGAAAUCAUCAUAUAUUCCCUAUCUGUGUUGGGCAUAAACCAGUCAUAUCUUCCUAACUUAGUUCUUGCUGUGUAUCUAGAAACUGGUUUCCUGAAGCUAUUCCCCAACUUCAUUGACCUACGGAUAUAAACCUUGAUGGAUUUUAGGUAUUUCUUAGCUUGGUUGGCCUACUGAGAUGAACACUUUUUCUUUUUUGUGAGACUUUGAGAACAGAGUCGUUGCUCUGUUGGUAAGGUGUGCGGAUGCAUAUUUGAGUCUUAGACUCCGCGGUGUCUCAGGUUGUUUCUUCUAUAUAUAAAAAAUGCCGCCAAGUGCUCCUGUUUGGUCCCCCUUUUCAUAUUCUGAGACCUUGAAAUAUAACUUCCUGUAAUUUUGUUAUCAUUCUGCAUUUCAAGAACCACCGAUUGUAAAGUUGAUUUGUAAAUCGUUUACGCAAUCUCUCGUGUUGUGCAUAAGUGUUAAGAGUGUAAAGUUUCAUCCAAUUCCUUUUUUUUCAUGAAUUUUAGGUUAUUCUUUGAGGUCUCCUAAUCUUCUACAACCUCGGCAGUGGUGGCUGCCUCUUCUUGGUUCAGGUAAGCCCUUGAUGUCCUAUCUCUCUCCUCCUCCGAGAUGGUGUCUGGCCAUCAAGCCAUUGAUUUAGUGUUCAGAUCCACGGUGCUGGUCUUUCGGCGGUCCAUCAAGCCAUUGAUGUUCAUCCCUAUUAGCUGGCUGCGUUGAUUGUUUUGAAAUGUUAAGCAUUUUGGGCAGCUAAGGGUUUAGUUGGAUUCAAAAUGUGAAAACUAAGCCCUCGAACUAACCAAAUGUUGCCUCUCAGCUAUGGAGCAAAAUUAUAUGAUUUCGUCUUUGUUUAUUAUCUUGUCGCCUUGCUAGACGAAAUGGGAAUAUAUGCAUUGGUUUUUGACAUUAUGUUGUAACUAGGUAGGGUGAUUUUUGUCAAAUGCUUAAAAUCAGAGAAUGGUAUGAGUUGAUUGUUUUUGACCCGAGAUCAAAAUGCAUGUGAUUAGAUAAUCCGGUACUAUAUGGCAGAACAUUUGGGCAUGAUAUAGUGACUAUUUAACAUGGUUAUGCUACUGUUUGGGUUGUGAUUCUACGGAUAUGCUUCCUGGCAUUGCUAGUAUUGGUAGGUGAUUGUUGGUCUUGUUUAAUAGGAUUGAACAAGAAAAGAGAGAUAUUCUCUACUUGAUUUCUUACAAAAUGUGUUAGCGUUGUGCUUUGUGUUGCUGAAAAGAAGUUUGGCAUGCUUGACCUAUUCCCAUGUGCUGGUGCAGUGGUGCAGUGUGCAGUGAUUAUAGAACACGAUGGCUUGACUAAUUGUAACCUGCAAUGAAGCACAUUUUAAGAGAGCAUCAUGGAAUAAUCUUGGUUUCUAGUUGGUACUGUCUAGUAGGUGAUGUUUGAUUUUAUAGGCCUUUUUUUACCAAGGCAUGGGCAUGUGUAGUAUUGUCUUGGUGUUGUGCAAUGUGUACUAUUCCGUUCAUUUUAAUUUGGUUUUGUAAAUAUUUAUUAUGAUUUGGUUAAACCAAAGAUAUUGUGGAGUAGCUCCAAGUGUAUGCGUCGUGCAUAGUGCUGAUCUACCUGAACACAUAUUUACGUUCUUUUGAGCCAUGGACCUUUGCUCCCUUGUACUCCCUCCGUUCCAAAUUACUCAUCGUGGUUUUAGUUCAAAUUUUGAACUAAAACCACGACGAGUAAUUUGGAACGGAGGGAGUAGAUAUUUAUUUUGUCAGCAUGCACCCCUUGUUGAUGCAUUAGAUAGAGGACCUGACCCAUCCUGGUUGUUUCUUUGAAUAUUACUACAGGAGUGGAAGUCGCAGGCUGAGGGAAGGGAAGUUUAUACUCCACAUGGGAAGGAAAGGAGGUGACAGACCCAAGUGUUGUUUGCUUGCGCGGUAGUUGCAACAAACAUGCCCCAAGUGUUGUUCCUUCAAGACUUUUUGUUGCUGUGGACACAUGUGUUUGUUAUGGUUGGUUUAUGAUGAGUCACAACAAAAAACUUGGGUUGUUGAUGUGUCUGUGAAACAAUCAAUUUCUUUUUGUUUGUUUGUUUGUAUCGAACCCAAGGAAGGAGCAUAAUACUUUGAAGCUGCCGAUCGAAUUGGUGGUUUUGAGGGUGGUAUUAUAUAUUGAACUCACUCAUCUACUGGUCCAUAUUUAUUUAUGUUUGUGGAAUUUGCAGUGCCUCAUUGGAUUUAUCAAAUAUUUUCUAGAGGAAGUUAGGUUGAAUUGAUGAUGAGUUAUGUAUUGGCUGCCCCAAGUUGGGUUAGUUGGUUCCCCUUUAUUAUGUAGAAUGUAUCCAAAUGGUAUGGAAUGUAUGUUAUUUAUAAGUGCUCCACCAUGAUGGUACGACGCGGCGGUGGAACUGGUUGUUGAUGAGGGAAGGUCUUGGUCGACGAGCUCCUCUACAUAUUGAGGAAUGCCGAUGGGUGUUGCUUGCUUCAUGCGAAACUGCUGUGAAGUUGUGCAAAAUCUAGCAAGGAGUUGUUGCCACGAUCAAUCAAGUGGAAAAUAUGUUUGAACGAAUCAGUCCAGUCAGGCUUGCUUGUUUUGAUUAGAUGCACACCACAACACCACUUAUGAAGAAAGAAAUUUGAGUCUUUACGUCGUGAUCCAAUGGAAGAUGUU
RNAcentral lists this long non-coding RNA (4491 nucleotides) under Triticum aestivum (bread wheat). Its description in RNAcentral is "long non-coding RNA (TAES_LNC004942)". Lineage: Eukaryota; Viridiplantae; Streptophyta; Magnoliopsida; Poales; Poaceae. The record is from RNAcentral.